RNAcentral lists this ribosomal RNA (254 nucleotides) under uncultured bacterium. Its description in RNAcentral is "partial 16S ribosomal RNA". It matches the Rfam family "Bacterial small subunit ribosomal RNA", at positions 524 to 776 of the family's 1533-position model. The record is from RNAcentral.
UACGGGGGGAGCAAGCGUUGUUCGGAUUUACUGGGCGUAAAGGGCGCGUAGGCGGUCGUGACAAGUCACUUGUGAAAUCUCCGGGCUUAACUCGGAACGGUCAAGUGAUACUGUCGGACUAGAGUACAGAAGGGGCAACUGGAAUUCUCGGUGUAGCGGUGAAAUGCGUAGAUAUCGAGAGGAACAUCUGCGGCGAAGGCGGGUUGCUGGGCUGAUACUGACGCUGAGGCGCGAAAGCCAGGGGAGCGAACGGG